UACGAAGGGGGCUAGCGUUGCUCGGAAUGACUGGGCGUAAAGGGCGCGUAGGCGGAUGGCACAGUCAGAUGUGAAAUUCCCGGGCUUAACCUGGGGGGCUGCAUUUGAUACGUGUUGUCUAGAGUGAGGAAGAGGGUUGUGGAAUUCCCAGUGUAGAGGUGAAAUUCGUAGAUAUUGGGAAGAACACCGGUGGCGAAGGCGGCAACCUGGUCCUUGACUGCGCUGAGGCGCGAAAGCGUGGGGAGCGAACAGGG
Molecule: ribosomal RNA, 254 nt
Filed under: uncultured bacterium
Lineage: Bacteria
Description: partial 16S ribosomal RNA
Rfam family: Bacterial small subunit ribosomal RNA
Source: RNAcentral